This 259-nucleotide ribosomal RNA is filed under the name uncultured bacterium. RNAcentral describes it as "partial 16S ribosomal RNA". It matches the Rfam family "Bacterial small subunit ribosomal RNA", at positions 524 to 777 of the family's 1533-position model. The record is from RNAcentral.
UACGUAGGGUGCGAGCGUUGUCCGGAAUUAUUGGGCGUAAAGGGCUCGUAGGCGGUUUGUCGCGUCGGGGAGUGAAAACCAGGUGCUUAACACCUGGCUUGCUUUCGAUACGGGCAGACUAGAGGUAUGCAGGGGGAGAACGGAAUUCCUGGUGUAGCGGUGAAAUGCGCAGAUAUCAGGAGGAACACCGGUGGCGAAGGCGGUUCUCUGGGCAUGACCUGACGCUGAGGAGCGAAAAGUGUGGGGGAGCGAAACAGGG